Molecule: ribosomal RNA, 1077 nt
Filed under: uncultured bacterium
Lineage: Bacteria
Description: bacterial SSU rRNA
Rfam family: Bacterial small subunit ribosomal RNA
Source: RNAcentral
CAAGUCGAACGGUAACAUUUCUAGCUUGCUAGAAGAUGACGAGUGGCGGACGGGUGAGUAAUGCUUGGGAACUUGCCUUUGCGAGGGGGAUAACAGUUGGAAACGACUGCUAAUACCGCAUAAUGUCUUCGGACCAAACGGGGCUUCGGCUCCGGCGCAAAGAGAGGCCCAAGUGAGAUUAGCUAGUUGGUAAGGUAACGGCUUACCAAGGCGACGAUCUCUAGCUGUUCUGAGAGGAAGAUCAGCCACACUGGGACUGAGACACGGCCCAGACUCCUACGGGAGGCAGCAGUGGGGAAUAUUGCACAAUGGGGGAAACCCUGAUGCAGCCAUGCCGCGUGUGUGAAGAAGGCCUUCGGGUUGUAAAGCGCUUUCAGUUGUGAGGAAAAGUUAGUAGUUAAUACCUGCUAGCCGUGACGUUAACAACAGAAGAAGCACCGGCUAACUCCGUGCCAGCAGCCGCGGUAAUACGGAGGGUGCGAGCGUUAAUCGGAAUUACUGGGCGUAAAGCGCACGCAGGCGGUUUGUUAAGCUAGAUGUGAAAGCCCCGGGCUCAACCUGGGAUGGUCAUUUAGAACUGGCAGACUAGAGUCUUGGAGAGGGGAGUGGAAUUCCAGAUGUAGCGGUGAAAUGCGUAGAUAUCUGGAGGAACAUCAGUGGCGAAGGCGACUCUCUGGCCAAAGACUGACGCUCAUGUGCGAAAGUGUGGGUAGCGAACAGGAUUAGAUACCCUGGUAGUCCACACCGUAAACGCUGUCUACUAGCUGUGUGUGCCUUUAAGGCGUGCGUAGCGAAGCUAACGCGCUAAGUAGACCGCCUGGGGAGUACGGCCGCAAGGUUAAAACUCAAAUGAAUUGACGGGGGCCCGCACAAGCGGUGGAGCAUGUGGUUUAAUUCGAUGCAACGCGAAAACCUUACCUACACUUGACAUGCUGAGAGUUACUAGAGAUGCCUUCGUGCCUUCGGAGCUCUGAGACAGUGCUGCAUGCUGUCGUCAGCUCGUGUGUGAAAUGUGGGUAAGUCCCGUAACGAGCGCAACCUUUGUCCUUAUUUGCAGCGAGUAUGGUCGGGAACUCU